UAGCCUACGGGACGCAGCAGUGAGGAAUAUUGGUCAAUGGUCGGGAGACUGAACCAGCCAAGCCGCGUGAGGGAUGAAGGUACAGAGUAUCGUAAACCUCUUUUGUCAGGGAACAAAGGCGGGGACGUGUCCCCGGAUGAGUGUACCUGAAGAAAAAGCAUCGGCUAACUCCGUGCCAGCAGCCGCGGUAAUACGGAGGAUGCGAGCGUUAUCCGGAUUUAUUGGGUUUAAAGGGAGCGCAGACGGCGUAUCAAGUCAGAAGUGAAAACCCGGGGCUCAACCCUGGGAGUGCUUUUGAAACUGUU
RNAcentral lists this ribosomal RNA (305 nucleotides) under uncultured bacterium. RNAcentral describes it as "bacterial SSU rRNA". It matches the Rfam family "Bacterial small subunit ribosomal RNA", at positions 334 to 637 of the family's 1533-position model. The record is from RNAcentral.